Molecule: ribozyme, 117 nt
Filed under: Aedes aegypti (yellow fever mosquito)
Lineage: Eukaryota; Metazoa; Arthropoda; Insecta; Diptera; Culicidae
Description: drz-agam-1 ribozyme
Rfam family: drz-agam-1 ribozyme
Source: Rfam by way of RNAcentral
UGCCCAGCAACUCCUAUCCCUACCUCCUCACGGUACUGGCCGGGGUACGAGUAACCUUAGGGAAGAUCGGGUAACCAACCCCCGGUGGGAACUCUGGUCGUAUGCUGACAGGGAAGG